RNAcentral lists this ribosomal RNA (869 nucleotides) under uncultured soil bacterium. RNAcentral describes it as "bacterial SSU rRNA". It matches the Rfam family "Bacterial small subunit ribosomal RNA", at positions 26 to 888 of the family's 1533-position model. The record is from RNAcentral.
AGAAUGAACGCUGGCGGCGUGCCUAACACAUGCAAGUCGGAUGUGCCGCAAGGUGCAUGGCAGACGGGUGAGUAACGCGUGGAAAACCUACCUCCUUGUGGGGAAUAACGCUCCGAAAGGAGUGGUAAUACCGCAUGAGACCACGGACUGGGAUGUCCAUGGUGAAACCUGGGGACCGCAAGGCCUGGGGCAAGGAGAGGGUUCUGCGUCUGAUUAGCUAGUUGGUGGGGUAAUGGCCUACCAAGGCGACGAUCAGUAGCCGGCCUGAGAGGGUGAUCGGCCACACUGGAACUGAGACACGGUCCAGACUCCUACGGGAGGCAGCAGUGGGGAAUUUUGCGCAAUGGGCGAAAGCCUGACGCAGCAACGCCGCGUGGGUGAUGAAGGUCUUCGGAUCGUAAAACCCUGUCGUCAGGGACGAAGGUUGCGGGUUGAACAUUCCCGCAACUUGACGGUACCUGGAGAGGAAGCACCGGCUAACUCUGUGCCAGCAGCCGCGGUAAUACAGAGGGGGCAAGCGUUAUUCGGAAUUAUUGGGCGUAAAGGGCGCGUAGGCGGUGUUUUAAGUGAGAUGUGCAAUCCCCGAGCUUAACUUGGGAACUGCAUCUCAGACUGGAACGCUAGAGUACUGGAGAGGGUGGUAGAAUUCCACGUGUAGCGGUGAAAUGCGUAGAGAUGUGGAGGAAUACCAGUGGCGAAGGCGGCCACCUGGACAGUAACUGACGCUGAGGCGCGAAAGUGUGGGUAGCAAACAGGAUUAGAUACCCUGGUAGUCCACGCUGUAAACGAUGAACACUUGGUGUGGCGGGAGUUGACCCCUGCCGUGCCGUAGCUAACGCGAUAAGUGUUCCGCCUGGGGAGUACGGUCG